GUCGAGGUCUGUUGAUCUAAAGCCACGAACUGGGGAAUGCAUAAUAUAAAACGGUCGGAUGUCCACCACCCUACCCCCUCUCAUCUCCCUCAUUCACUCAUCUUCUGUAAAUCCUAGAGACAACCACCACCAAUUCUCCACCGGCUCCGGUGGUAGCGCCACCGUAAAUCGGCCCCAAAAAUACACCCCUAACUUCCCUCGCCCCCCUCUUUCCAAAUACGCAUUCAGUUUCCUUCAAAUCAGUCCCCACCUCUUCGAAUCUUCAUUUGAAGUUCAGACCCAAAACCCAAAUCAUCCCAAAUCCGCCCAAAAUCACAUCUCACGGUCUCUUGGGCACCCUCAUCCCAAAUACCAAACUAAAGACCUUCAAAUUCAAGUAUAACUCGGCGAAUUUCAAAUCUAGGGUUCAUGCAGUUCAGCUUGUUUUAGGGAAUUUUCAAGGUCGAAUGAUUUCUACAGUGAGUAUUCUUUAGUUUUCUAAUUUUAUUUCUAUUAGUUUAAUUUUAUAUUCUUUUCGUCCAAAUCUAGUUUGAUUUCUGGAAGCUUUGUUCAUAAUUGAAUUUGAUUUUAUACUUGUUUGUUAGUUUGAACAUGAUUUUGAUCCUGUAAUAUUAAUUUAAUUUUUGUUUUGAUUUUUUAGUUCAUCUCAGUCUGCUUUAGUUAAUAAUAGCAUUUAGUUUAGUUUUUUUGAUUAUUAGUAGGUAUUCCCCUAUUUUUCCUUCUGAUUUGGUUCAAUGUAAAUAUUGGUUUAAAUUCAUUCCUGUUGAUCUUUUCUUUUAGUUUAGUCUUGUCGAUUUUAAUUAAUUCUAUUUAGGGUAUUUUUAUGAUAGUUUAAAUUAGUUUUAAAUCAUUUUGGAUAUGUGUUUUGUUAAUUCACAGUACUACAAUAGUUGAUUGUUUAAACAUUUAGUUGAUUAGUUAGUCAUGACUCAUGGGUAAAGGGAUUGGGUUAGUUAACCAUAGUCAGUAAUUUCAGUGGGAUAAAAGGGGUCUUGGUUAUUAAUUGGUUACUGGCUGAAUUAUUUCUGCUCGUGGCUGCUUUCGCUGACUUGUUCUGCUUCUUCUUAAUUUCGAAUUUCAGGUACACAAUUGCACUUCUUAUGACUGUGAACUGAAAAUGUGCAGUAAAGAAUGUAUGUUAAGAAUGAGUUCUAAUUUAGAUUAGUUUACAGAUCUGUGUAUUCAACAUUUAAUUGUUUAAGUUUUGAUGGUUUUGUAUUGAUUGGACUGUAUUAAACAUUGCUGCCUUUCGAAGUUGUGGGAGCUUCAUAAGUUGAACACUAGUCGUAAAUAGUUUUGCAGUCAUUUGAUAGAAUAGUUUCAUGAUGCGAUUUAGUUAACUCCAUGACUGUUACCUCACGUAUUUGUCCAGGAAGUAGCUUGGUAACGAGUUGAAAUUUCUGUCUCAUGUUAAUAUAAUUAUUUUGAGUUGCUAGAAUUGAAUCAGUUUAGGUAAUAAUAAUCAGAGUAAGUGUUAAUUUGAAAUCGUAGGUUAAUCAUGACUAUGUGUUUAAAUCUAGUUAUGCCUGAAUUUCAUGUAUUCACCCCCAGCAUGACUGCAUUUUAGUCACACGC
RNAcentral lists this long non-coding RNA (1575 nucleotides) under Nicotiana benthamiana. Its description in RNAcentral is "long non-coding RNA (NBEN_LNC029112)". Lineage: Eukaryota; Viridiplantae; Streptophyta; Magnoliopsida; Solanales; Solanaceae. The record is from RNAcentral.